UACGUAGGUGGCGAGCGUUGUCCGGAUUUACUGGGCGUAAAGGGAGCGUAGGCGGACUUUUAAGUGAGUUGUGAAAUACUCGGGCUCAACUUGAGUGCUGCAUUUCAAACUGGAAGUCUAGAGUGCAGGAGAGGAGAAUGGAAUUCCUAGUGUAGCGGUGAAAUGCGUAGAGAUUAGGAAGAACACCAGUGGCGAAGGCGAUUCUCUGGACUGUGACUGACGCUGAGGCUCGAAAGCGUGGGGAGCAAACAGG
This 253-nucleotide ribosomal RNA is filed under the name uncultured bacterium. RNAcentral describes it as "partial 16S ribosomal RNA". It matches the Rfam family "Bacterial small subunit ribosomal RNA", at positions 524 to 776 of the family's 1533-position model. The record is from RNAcentral.